Molecule: transfer RNA, 97 nt
Filed under: Longispora fulva
Lineage: Bacteria; Bacillati; Actinomycetota; Actinomycetes; Micromonosporales; Micromonosporaceae
Description: tRNA-Leu
Source: RNAcentral
GGCACCGUGGGGUGCCGGGGCGGUUCCGCUGGAGCUCAGGCCCCCGGAGGGGCGUCGAAGGGUGCGCUCCAGGUCUGGUUCGGCUGGUUGGUGCCGC